AGUGAACGCUGGCGGUAGGCCUAACACAUGCGAGUCGAACGGCAGCACAGUAAGAGCUUGCUCUUACGGGUGGCGAGUGGCGGACGGGUGAGGAAUACAUCGGAAUCUACUUUUUCGUGGGGGAUAACGUAGGGAAACUUACGCUAAUACCGCAUACGACCUACGGGUGAAAGCAGGGGAUCUUCGGACCUUGCGCGAUUGAAUGAGCCGAUGUCGGAUUAGCUAGUUGGCGGGGUAAAGGCCCACCAAGGCGACGAUCCGUAGCUGGUCUGAGAGGAUGAUCAGCCACACUGGAACUGAGACACGGUCCAGACUCCUACGGGAGGAAGCAGUGGGGAAUAUUGGACAAUGGGCGCAAGCCUGAUCCAGCCAUACCGCGUGGGUGAAGAAGGCCUUCGGGUUGUAAAGCCCUUUUGUUGGGAAAGAAAAGCAGCAGGUUAAUACCCCGCUGUUCUGACGGUACCCAAAGAAUAAGCACCGGCUAACUUCGUG
RNAcentral lists this ribosomal RNA (492 nucleotides) under uncultured bacterium. Its description in RNAcentral is "partial 16S ribosomal RNA". It matches the Rfam family "Bacterial small subunit ribosomal RNA", at positions 29 to 507 of the family's 1533-position model. The record is from RNAcentral.